Molecule: non-coding RNA, 65 nt
Organism: Pseudomonas sp. HPB0071
Lineage: Bacteria; Pseudomonadati; Pseudomonadota; Gammaproteobacteria; Pseudomonadales; Pseudomonadaceae
Rfam family: Pseudomonas sRNA P26
About the family: P26 is conserved across many Gammaproteobacteria species and appears to be consistently located between the DNA directed RNA polymerase (beta subunit) and 50S ribosomal protein L7/L12 genes.
Source: Rfam
GACAUUGCGUCUACAGCCUGAGCGUUAAAGUUCGGCUGAUGGCUGGUGGCAAUAGCCACCGGCCU